This 467-nucleotide ribosomal RNA is filed under the name uncultured bacterium. RNAcentral's name for it is "partial 16S ribosomal RNA". It matches the Rfam family "Bacterial small subunit ribosomal RNA", at positions 28 to 506 of the family's 1533-position model. The record is from RNAcentral.
GACGAACGCUGGCGGCGUGCUUAACACAUGCAAGUCGAACGGAAAGGCCCUGCUUUUGUGGGGUGCUCGAGUGGCGAACGGGUGAGUAACACGUGAGUAACCUGCCCUUGACUUUGGGAUAACUUCAGGAAACUGGGGCUAAUACCGGAUAGGAGCUCCUGCUGCAUGGUGGGGGUUGGAAAGUUUCGGCGGUUGGGGAUGGACUCGCGGCUUAUCAGCUUGUUGGUGGGGUAGUGGCUUACCAAGGCUUUGACGGGUAGCCGGCCUGAGAGGGUGACCGGCCACAUUGGGCCUGGGAUACGGCCCAGACUCAUACGGGAGGCAGCAGUGGGGAAUAUUGCACACUGGGCGGAAGCCUGAUGCAGCAACGCCGCGUGCGGGAUGACGGCCUUCGGGUUGUAAACCGCUUUCGCCUGUGACGAAGCGUGAGUGACGGGAAUGGGUAAAGAAGCACCGGCGAACUACGU